RNAcentral lists this unclassified non-coding RNA (700 nucleotides) under Viscum ovalifolium. RNAcentral's name for it is "sequence contains ITS1, 5.8S rRNA gene, ITS2". The stretch from base 290 to 449 matches the Rfam family "5.8S ribosomal RNA". The record is from RNAcentral. Lineage: Eukaryota; Viridiplantae; Streptophyta; Magnoliopsida; Santalales; Viscaceae.
UUUCCGUAGGUGAACCUGCGGAAGGAUCAUUGUCGAAAGCUUGCACAGUGUUGGUGGACAUGCGAACUAAGUCGGAACAUAUAUAGGGGGUGCACGGGGAGCUGCUUUCCCUCCCCCCAUGGUCGAUGGGUAUGUGGUCAAGAGGCCAUGGGUAACCUCGGUCUAACUCUCAAACCGGCGCUCGACGUGCCAAGGAAACUCAACUUGAAAUGCUGUCCCCCGGCCCUCGUAUGAUGCGUGCGUGGGAUUCGAGGAGGAGACGUGUGAAAAAAAAAUGGCGUGAUAGAAUGACUCUCGGCAAUGGAUAUCUCGGCUCUCGUAUCGAUGAAGAACGCAGCGAAAUGCGAUACUUGGUGUGAAUUGCAGAAUCUCGUGAGCCAUUGAGUUUUUGAAUGCAAGUUGCGCCCGAAGCCAUUUUUUUGGUCGAGGGCACGCCUGCCUGGGUGUCAUGCAUGGAGUUUUCCUGGGACCUCCUCCUCCGUGAGGCCGAUUGCUCGGCUGCUUUUCAUUGGGGGUGAGGGCGAUCUCGGGCGUAUGUUGGCCUCCCGUUCCCCGUCGUGCGGUUGGUUUAAAUUUGGGGUCCUUGGUGGCAUGCAUCGUUGAAGAGCUGUCUUAAACAACGUUUGUCCUAUGUUGGCAAGUGAGCCCUCGCGGUCCCAUGGCUUCCUCGACACUUGUAUGGAGUUGCCAUUUGGACCCC